GACUUUUGCUGGCGGCGUGCUUAACACAUGCAAGUCGAACGCUGAAGCCCGAGCUUGCUCGGGUGGAUGAGUGGCGAACGGGUGAGUAACACGUGAGUAACCUGCCCAUGUCUCUGGGAUAAGCGCUGGAAACGGCGUCUAAUACUGGAUACGAGCAUCCACUGCAUGGUGAGGUGUUGGAAAGAUUUAUCGGACAUGGAUGGACUCGCGGCCUAUCAGCUUGAUGGUGAGGUAAUGGCUCACCAUGGCGACGACGGGUAGCCGGCCUGAGAGGGUGACCGGCCACACUGGGACUGAGACACGGCCCAGACUCCUACGGGAGGCAGCAGUGGGGAAUAUUGCACAAUGGGCGCAAGCCUGAUGCAGCAACGCCGCGUGAGGGAUGACGGCCUUCGGGUUGUAAACCUCUUUUGUCAGGGAAGAAGCCUUCGGGUGACGGUACCUGGAGAAAAAGCACCGGCUAACUACGUGCCAGCAGCCGCGGUAAUACGUAGGGUGCAAGCGUUGUCCGGGAUUAUUGGGCGUAAAGAGCUCGUAGGCGGCUUGUCGCGUCUGCUGUGAAAACCCGAGGCUCAACCUCGGGCCUGCAGUGGGUACGGGCAGGCUAGAGUGCGGUAGGGGAAAUUGGAAUUCCCUGGGUAAGCGGUGAAAUGCGCAGAUAUCAUGAGGAACACCGAAGGGGAAAGGCAAAUCUCUGGCCCGCUACUGACGGUGAGGAGCGAAAGCAUGGGGAGCGAACAGGAUAAGAUACCCUGGUAGUCCAUGCCGUAAAAGUUGGGAACUAGAUGUAGGGCCUGUUCCACGGGUUCUGUGUCGUAGCUAACGCAUUAAGUUCCCCGCCUGGGGAGUACGGCCGCAAGGCUAAAACUCAAAGGAAUUGACGGGGGCCCGCACAAGCGGCGGAGCAUGCGGAUUAAUUCGAUGCAACGCGAAGAACCUUACCAAGGCUUGACAUAUACGAGAACACUGCAGAGAUGCAGGACUCUUUGGACACUCGUAUACAGGUGGUGCAUGGUUGUCGUCAGCUCGUGUCGUGAGAUGUUCGGUUAAGUCCGGCAACGAGCGCAACCCUCGUCCUAUGUUGCCAGCACGUUAUGGUGGGAACUCAUGGGAUACUGCCGUGGUCAACACGGAGGAAGGUGGGGAUGACGUCAAAUCAUCAUGCCCCUUAUGUCUUGGGCUUCACGCAUGCUACAAUGGCCGAUACAAAGGGCUGCGAUACCGCGAGGUGGAGCGAAUCCCAAAAAGUCGGUCUCAGUUCGGAUUGGGGUCUGCAACUCGACCCCAUGAAGUCGGAGUCGCUAGUAAUCGCAGAUCAACAACGCUGCGGUGAAUACGUUCCCGGGCCU
This 1349-nucleotide ribosomal RNA is filed under the name uncultured bacterium. Its description in RNAcentral is "bacterial SSU rRNA". It matches the Rfam family "Bacterial small subunit ribosomal RNA", at positions 28 to 1381 of the family's 1533-position model. The record is from RNAcentral.